ACGGGAGGCAGCAGUGGGGAAUAUUGCACAAUGGGCGCAAGCCUGAUGCAGCGAUGCCGCGUGAGGGAAGAAGGUUUUCGGAUUGUAAACCUCUGUCAACAGGGACGAAAAUGACGGUACCUGUGAAGGAAGCUCCGGCUAAAUACGUGCCAGCAGCCGCGGUAAUACGUAUGGAGCAAGCGUUAUCCGGAUUUACUGGGUGUAAAGGGAGCGUAGACGGCAAAGCAAGUCUGAAGUGAAAUCCCGGGGCUCAACCCCGGAACUGCUUUGGAAACUGUUUAGCUAGAGUGCAGGAGAGGUAAGCGGAAUUCCUAGUGUAGCGGUGAAAUGCGUAGAUAUUAGGAGGAACACCAGUGGCGAAGGCGGCUUACUGGACUGUAACUGACGUUGAGGCUCGAAAGCGUGGGGAGCAAACAGGAUUAGAUACCCUGGUA
Molecule: ribosomal RNA, 434 nt
Filed under: uncultured Lachnospiraceae bacterium
Lineage: Bacteria; Bacillati; Bacillota; Clostridia; Lachnospirales; Lachnospiraceae
Description: bacterial SSU rRNA
Rfam family: Bacterial small subunit ribosomal RNA
Source: RNAcentral